UACGGGGGGGGCAAGCGUUGUUCGGAAUUACUGGGCGUAAAGGGUGCGUAGGUGGUUGCAUAAGUUAGGUGUGAAAGUCCUGGGCUUAACCUGGGGACUGCGCCUAAGACUGUGUGGCUAGAGUACUGUAGAGGAAGGUGGAAUUUCCAGUGUAGCGGUGAAAUGCGUAGAUAUUGGAAGGAACAUCGGUGGCGAAGGCGACUUUCUGGACAGAUACUGACACUGAGGCACGAGAGCAUGGGGAGCAAACAGG
Molecule: ribosomal RNA, 253 nt
Filed under: uncultured bacterium
Lineage: Bacteria
Description: partial 16S ribosomal RNA
Rfam family: Bacterial small subunit ribosomal RNA
Source: RNAcentral